RNAcentral lists this non-coding RNA (21 nucleotides) under Caenorhabditis elegans. Lineage: Eukaryota; Metazoa; Nematoda; Chromadorea; Rhabditida; Rhabditidae. The record is from RNAcentral.
UUUUUGAUUGAUUCUUACUCA